This 1882-nucleotide long non-coding RNA is filed under the name Actinidia chinensis (golden kiwifruit). RNAcentral's name for it is "long non-coding RNA (ACHI_LNC004274)". Lineage: Eukaryota; Viridiplantae; Streptophyta; Magnoliopsida; Ericales; Actinidiaceae. The record is from RNAcentral.
AAUAUUUCGAUGACCCAGCUCUCUCUCGUUUUCGCGUUCUUCCUUUCUCUGUCGUCUCUGCACUCUUCUCUCCUUCUCUCUGCUUUCUUUUUCUCUUCUUUGCUUCCCUUCUCUCAUUUACGCGUUCUUAUUUUGGGUUUUGGUGGUUGAUUUGUGGGAAGAAGUACAACUACAUCAUUGACGACGAUUGCUUUGUAAGAUCUUUAACUGCGCUUUAUUUUGUUAUGCUGGGAAUCGUUUUUGAUGUGGGAUUUGGAAAGAAUUGUGAAUUUCUUGGUUUUGGUGUUUUUGAUUGAUGGGUUUUGAUGUUUUUUUUUGAAUUUUCGGUGGGAUUGGAUCGGUUUGAUUUGGUGGGUUAUGAGAAGAUUGGAUUUUGGUUAGGCUUUGAUUUGUGCGUACUUUCAACCUUUUUCUGGUUUGCCUUUUUUGUGUGUCAAAUGAUUGAAUUUAUACAUUCAGAUCUGCUUCUCUGUUCUGCACAUUCAUCUUCAAUAAUGUUUCUGUUAUGUCGUGUAUUGUGUGUUUUUUUGUUCAUGGCCUGAAUUUGACCUGUGUUGCCUUCUUGUAUUCAAUAAAAUUCAUAAAUUUCUCUCCUGAAACUAAACCACAAUAGAAACGUUUAAAUGAUUAUAAGGUGAUGUUAAAGAUGUAGGUUAUAGGAUUUAGUUGAAAAACUGGGAACAGAGGUUACAAAAACAUUUAGGCCAUAUGUAUUGUCUGUUAAUGGGGUAAAGUGAAAUGAGACGGAGGGGGUGUUAAAGGAAUUGUGGGCAUUUGAAAGAUUAAAUUUGCAGUGUUAAAGGAAUUAGUGUGUAUAAGGGGUAAAAAGGGUGGGAAGGCAUUGUAGGUAUUUUUGAAAAUAAUUUCAGUCAGCUGACCACUUUUUGACUACUUGACUGACGGAAUGAGACAAAGGGGGUGUUAGUGACAAUUUUCAAUAGUUAAGGAGGUGUAAGUGGUUGGUUUUUUAAUUAAUGGGUGUUAGUAACUAAACGUUAUAAUUUGGGAGUGUUCCUAUAAUUAAGCCUUAAAUUAAUCAUAUUGAGGUCCCAUCUAUUUCUUACAUAGGCUUGGGUAGAAUACCUAAGCUACGGUAGAAUAACAAAACCAUGCUGAUGGACUUCUUAUUUUUCAGUAAACAGACGUGCGAAAUUUCCCAUAAGAAAUACUGUUUGCCUAUAUUUGAGGAAGGGAGUUGUGUUACUAUGUCCUCUUGAGAAUUGAUUUUUGAAUCUCUAAUCAGCUAAUGCAUCAAUAGUCAAUCAUCAUUCUUGUAACUGGUAACUAGUGAGUAUGUGAUAGUGCAAGAAAAUGAGAUAAGAAGAGUGAGAAACAAGAAAAUUUUUUGACACAGUAGCGGCCCAAAGUUUUUUGAGGCUUCGAGUUGUACAUCAAAAUGGGACCAAUCUUAUUGGAUCUUCAGGUAAUUACGGCCUUUAGCAAGAAAGAAGAUUUCAGUUUUUUAGUUUCUUGGACACAAUAAACGAAUGAGCCACAUCCCACUUUGGUUGUUUUUUUCUAUCUUGAAAGUGUGUUUGUAGUAUUUGUCAUAAGUUCUACUUUCUUCUUAAGGGCAAAUGAAAAAAAUAAAAAACGCUACAAAAACAAGCUGAUUUUUGAAAAGUUAGUACUUUUUAAUUUCUAGUUUUGAAUUAUCGAGGUUUUAAUAUAAGUUCAGCUACAAUAGAUACCCACAUUGUCAACAAUGCUUAGUGGCAGCUAUGAUUAAUCAUCGCUUCCAUCUUCUAGAUAGUUCAUAAACUAAAUGCCUGAACUCCAAAAAUUUAUAGGACGGUCACUGUUGAUGCCAGAUAUAUAGUGGAGCUGGUAUGGCACAAAAUUGGAAACUGGUUUAUAGGAUGCCACCAUUUGGAGAAAAGAA